ACUCCUACGGGGAGGCAGCAGUAGGGAAUCUUCCACGAUGGACGAAAGUCUGAUGGAGCAACGCCGCGUGAGUGAAGAAGGGUUUCGGCUCGUAAAACUCUGUUGUUAAAGAAGAACAUAUCUGAGAGUAACUGUUCAGGUAUUGACGGUAUUUAACCAGAAAGCCACGGCUAACUACGUGCCAGCAGCCGCGGUAAUACGUAGGUGGCAAGCGUUGUCCGGAUUUAUUGGGGCGUAAAGCGAGCGCAGGCGGUUUUUAAAGUCUGAUGUGAAAGCCUUCGGCUCAACCGAAGAAGUGCAUCGGAAACUGGGAAACUUGAGUGCAGAAGAGGACAGUGGAACUCCAUGUGUAGCGGUGAAAUGCGUAGAUAUAUGGAAGAACACCAGUGGCGAAGGCGGCUGUCUGGUCUGUAACUGACGCUGAGGCUCGAAA
RNAcentral lists this ribosomal RNA (433 nucleotides) under uncultured bacterium. RNAcentral's name for it is "bacterial SSU rRNA". It matches the Rfam family "Bacterial small subunit ribosomal RNA", at positions 335 to 758 of the family's 1533-position model. The record is from RNAcentral.